AUUGAACGCUGGCGGCAUGCCUUACACAUGCACGUCGAACGGUAACAGGUCUUCGGAUGCUGACGAGUGGCGAACGGGUGAGUAAUACAUCGGAACGUGCCCGAUCGUGGGGGAUAACGAAGCGAAAGCUUUGCUAAUACCGCAUACGAUCUACGGAUGAAAGCGGGGGAUCUUCGGACCUCGCGCGGACGGAGCGGCCGAUGGCAGAUUAGGUAGUUGGUGGGAUAAAAGCUUACCAAGCCGACGAUCUGUAGCUGGUCUGAGAGGAUGAUCAGCCACACUGGGACUGAGACACGGCCCAGACUCCUAUGGGAGGCAGCAGUGGGGAAUUUUGGACAAUGGGCGCAAGCCUGAUCCAGCCAUGCCGCGUGCAGGAUGAAGGCCUUCGGGUUGUAAACUGCUUUUGUACGGAACGAAAAGGUGCCUUCUAAUAAAGGGCGCUCAUGACGGUACCGUAAGAAUAAGCACCGGCUAACUACGUG
This 482-nucleotide ribosomal RNA is filed under the name uncultured bacterium. RNAcentral describes it as "partial 16S ribosomal RNA". It matches the Rfam family "Bacterial small subunit ribosomal RNA", at positions 30 to 507 of the family's 1533-position model. The record is from RNAcentral.